RNAcentral lists this transfer RNA (75 nucleotides) under candidate division WS2 bacterium ADurb.Bin280. RNAcentral's name for it is "tRNA-Glu". It matches the Rfam family "tRNA". From Rfam's summary of the family: Transfer RNA (tRNA) molecules are approximately 80 nucleotides in length. Their secondary structure includes four short double-helical elements and three loops (D, anti-codon, and T loops). Further hydrogen bonds mediate the characteristic L-shaped molecular structure. tRNAs have two regions of fundamental functional importance: the anti-codon, which is responsible for specific mRNA codon recognition, and the 3' end, to which the tRNAs corresponding amino acid is attached (by aminoacyl-tRNA synthetases). tRNAs cope with the degeneracy of the genetic code in two manners: having more than one tRNA (with a specific anti-codon) for a particular amino acid; and 'wobble' base-pairing, i.e. permitting non-standard base-pairing at the 3rd anti-codon position. The record is from RNAcentral.
GGCCCCAUCAUCUAGUGGUCAGGAUACCAGGUUUUCAUCCUGGACACCGGGGUUCGACUCCCCGUGGGGUCACCA